Molecule: ribosomal RNA, 443 nt
Filed under: uncultured bacterium
Lineage: Bacteria
Description: partial 16S ribosomal RNA
Rfam family: Bacterial small subunit ribosomal RNA
Source: RNAcentral
CCUACGGGAGGCAGCAGUGGGGAAUAUUGGGCAAUGGGCGCAAGCCUGACCCAGCAACGCCGCGUGAAGGAAGAAGGCUUUCGGGUUGUAAACUUCUUUUCUCAGGGACGAAGCAAGUGACGGUACCUGAGUAAUAAGCCACUGCUACCUACGUGCCAGCAGCCGCUGUAAUCCGUAGGUGGCCAGCGUUAUCCGGAUUUACUGGGUGUAAGGGGCGUGUAGGCGGGAAAGCAAGUCAGAUGUGAAAACCAUGGGCUCAACCUGUGGCCUGCAUUUGAAACUGUUUUUCUUGAGUACUGGAGAGGCAGACGGAAUUCCUAGUGUAGCGGUGAAAUGCGUAGAUAUUAGGAGGAACACCAGUGGCGAAGGCGGCCUGCUGAGCUUUUACUGACGCUGAGGCUCGAAAGUGUGGGGAGCAAACAGGAUUAGAUACCCCAAUAGUC